UACGUAGGGUGCGAGCGUUGUCUGGAUUUAUUGGGCGUAAAGGGCUCGUAGGCGGCGUGUCGCGUCGGGAGGGAAAGACCGGGGCUUAACCCCGGUUCUGCUUCCGGUACGGGCAUGCUGGAGUGUGGCAGGGGAGACUGGAAUUCCUGGUGUAGCGGUGGAAUGCGCAGAUAUCAGGAGGAACACCGGUGGCGAAGGCGGGUCUCUGGGCCAUUACUGACGCUGAGGAGCGAAAGCGUGGGGAGCGAACAGG
RNAcentral lists this ribosomal RNA (253 nucleotides) under uncultured bacterium. RNAcentral's name for it is "partial 16S ribosomal RNA". It matches the Rfam family "Bacterial small subunit ribosomal RNA", at positions 524 to 776 of the family's 1533-position model. The record is from RNAcentral.